Long non-coding RNA from Seriola aureovittata, 630 nucleotides. RefSeq lists it as uncharacterized. The transcript is spliced from 5 exons. The record is from RefSeq and is a predicted model, not a curated record. Lineage: Eukaryota; Metazoa; Chordata; Actinopteri; Carangiformes; Carangidae.
UUACCGGAUUAAUAUGAUAAUCAGGCAGGUUAAGUGGCCCUGUGACCACAAUUAAUGGAAGGCUUGACAUUUUUACUUUUUAGUUACUUAGUAAUUAGCAAAACUACAGAGCUCUUCAAAUAUGAUUUAUACUACUAUUUGGAUCUUCAGAGACUAGACUCCAAAUCGUAAUGCAUAACUAAGCCGUCUUCACUUAAAAACAAUCCUGAAGAUUCCCAGGGCAAGUGAGGACUUCCCCGCUCCUGUUCGACCCACAAUGCCAACCUAUAAAAAGAGGUAAUGCCUUUCAGAGCCAACUCGAGGCCUUUACGGUACUGCAGCCCGUAGUCCUGAAACUCUAUAGUGCCUGUCUGGGGCCAGGCCAGGGGCAAGGAGCUGCCUUCUUUACUCCAGCUAGCCUAAAUGAGACAACAACAAAGGAAACUAUGUUGUUUUCUACGUCAGUCCAGGAUCUCACAAUCCAGCUCAAGAUUCCAGUCACCUGCGAUAUCCAAGGCAAUGAGGUAGAGGCUCUUACCUGGAGGGAGUGUGACACAGCCAAACCAACGAUGCCCGGGCUCAGUGUGUUUUUUCCCAUCACAGAGAGAAUAGCAGCGGCUAAGACCACGCCAUUACCAACAAACUCCAGAU